AUUGAACGCUGGCGGCAUGCCUAACACAUGCAAGUCGAACGGCAGCACAGGAAUCGGUCUCUCGUCGAGUUGCCGACGGGCGAAUGAUUCAUCAAUACAUCGCAAUCAGCUGUGGAUAGCGCGACAACGGCCGGAUACAUACCCCAUUACACCAUACGACGAACGCGGGGAAGCAAGAGACCUCCCGCUCUUGCGCCUUUCGAUGUCGGAUUAGCUAGUUGGCGGGGUAAAGGCUUACCAAGGCGACGAUCCGUAGCUGGUCUGAGAGGAUGACCAGCCACACUGGAACUGAGACACGGCACAGACUCCUACGGGAGGCAGCAGUGGGGAAUAUUGGACAAUGGGGGCAAGCCUGAUCCAGCCAUACCGCGUGGGUGAAGAAGGCCUUCGGGUUGUAAAGCGCUUUUGUUCGGAAAGAAAAGCAGUGGGUUAAUACCCCGCGGUUAUGACGGUACCGAAAGAAUAAGCACCGGCUAACUUCGUG
This 484-nucleotide ribosomal RNA is filed under the name uncultured bacterium. Its description in RNAcentral is "partial 16S ribosomal RNA". It matches the Rfam family "Bacterial small subunit ribosomal RNA", at positions 30 to 507 of the family's 1533-position model. The record is from RNAcentral.